GUCCUCAGCGCGUAGAGCCAAAACAGUGGAAAUCAAAAGUUUAAGUUCUUUUUCCUGUACUUUUGCAUCUCCUCCUCUUCACUCCCUGACUGAACCAAAACACUUCUUCGCAGUUCCUCCUUCCACCAUAGCAGAAUAAAAAGUGUGAAACUAACUCACAACGAGAAAUUCGAGAGAAAAUGAAAAAAACGUUACUAACUCAAUGCCUUCAAAAACGGUUUGGAUAGCAACUAACCGUUUAACACUAAACGUCGUCGUUUCCGUUACCAUGAACUUAACACAGCGUCCCGUCGCCCAGCGCGGCGGCGCCAGCAACUUGCCGCGGCCGCCUCCUCCGCCGCUGAACUCCGUCUUCAACAUCAUCCCGGUGCACGACCUCCUCACGGACCACCCGUCGCUCCGGUACCCGGAGGUGCGAGCCGCCGCCGCGGCCCUCCGCACCGUCGGCGACCUCCCGAAGCACCAGUUCAUGCGGUGGGAACCGGAGAUGGACCUUCUGGACUGGCUCCGGUUACUGUUCGGUUUCCAACUCGACAACGCGCGGAACCAGAGGGAGCACCUGGUUCUCCACCUCGCGAACUCGCAGAUGCGCCUCGAGCCGCCGCCGGCGAUCGUCGACGCGCUCGACGCCGGUGUUCUGCGGCGGUUCCGGCGGAAGCUCCUCCACAACUACACCGCGUGGUGUUCGUUCCUCGGCCUGAAGUCGAACGUACUUCUCUCGCGCCGCCGCGACCCGACGGAUCUCCGCCGCGAGUUGCUUUAUGUUUCGCUGUACCUUCUGGUUUGGGGAGAGGCCGGUAACCUUCGUUUCACUCCCGAGUGUCUUUGUUAUAUUUAUCAUUUCAUGGCGAAGGAGCUUAAUCAUGUUAUAGAUGAGCACAUUGAUCCUGAUACUGGUCGUCCUUAUAUGCCUACGGUUUCUGGUGAAUUAGGGUUUUUGAAGUCUGUGAUUAUGCCUAUUUAUAAUACUAUUAAGGUUGAGGUUGAUAGUAGCAGAAAUGGAAAGGCUCCGCACUCUGCGUGGAGGAAUUAUGAUGACAUUAACGAGUAUUUUUGGAGUAGGAGGUGUUUGAAGAGACUCGGGUGGCCUUUGAAUUUUGAGUGUAAUUUUUUCGGGACUACGCCGAAGGAGAAGCGGGUAGGGAAGACGGGGUUUGUGGAGCAGAGGUCGUUUUGGAAUGUUUAUAAGAGUUUUGAUAGGCUUUGGGUGAUGCUGAUUUUGUUCUUUCAGGCUGCGGUUAUUGUUGCUUGGGAGGGUACCACUUAUCCGUGGCAGGCGUUGGAGAGAAGGGAUGUGCAGGUCAAGAUGUUGACUGUGUUUAUCACUUGGAGUGCUCUGAGGUUGCUUCAAUCGGUGCUUGAUGCUGGGACUCAGUAUAGCUUGGUUACGAGAGAGACCACGUGGCUUGGAGUGAGGAUGACGUUGAAGAGCAUGGUUGCCAUAACGUGGACUGUUUUGUUUUCGGUCUUUUAUGGAAUGAUUUGGAUUGAGAAGGGUUCUAGGCCAAUCUGGUCUGAUGCGGCCAAUCAGAGGAUUUAUACAUUUCUUAAAGUUGUCCUUUUCUUUCUUAUCCCGGAGUUGUUGGCAUUGGUGCUGUUCGUGGUGCCAUGGUUGCGGAAUGUCAUUGAGGAAUCGGACUGGAGAAUAGUAUACAUGUUGAUGUGGUGGUUUCAUAACCGGAUUUUUGUGGGCCGGGGUGUGAGACAAGCACUUGUAGAUAAUGUAAAGUAUACUGUUUUCUGGGUAGCAGUAUUAGCUUCAAAGUUUUCAUUCAGUUACUUUGUUCAGAUCAAGCCUCUAGUUGCUCCAACAAAGGCUCUUUUGAAUCUUAAGAGCAUUCCUUCUAAAUGGCACGAAUUUUUCAGCAACACCAACAGGGUAGCAGUUGUCUUGCUAUGGUUACCUGUUGUGCUGGUAUACUUCAUGGAUUUGCAGAUAUGGUAUUCAAUUUUCUCUGCCUUUUAUGGCGCGGCAAUUGGUCUUUUCUCGCAUUUGGGUGAAAUUAGGAAUGUAACACAACUCAGACUUAGAUUUCAGUUCUUUGCCAGUGCAAUGCAGUUCAAUCUGAUGCCAGAGGAGAAGCUGCUUAGUCAGCAAGCUACACUGUUAAAGAAGCUUCGUGAUGCCAUCCACAGGUUGAAACUGCGAUACGGACUUGGUCAGCCCUUCAAUAAGAUUGAAUCAAGCCAAGUGGAUGCUACCAGGUUUGCCUUAAUAUGGAAUGAGAUUAUGAUAACUUUCAGGGAGGAAGAUAUCAUCAGCGAUCGAGAACUUGAGCUCUUGAAGCUGCCGCCAAAUUGCUGGAAUAUUAGGGUUAUUCGAUGGCCGUGUUCCCUUCUCUGUAAUGAGCUACUUCUUGCUGUCAGUCAGGCAAAAGAGCUGGAAAAUGAGUCUGACCGGUCACUUUGGUUGAAAAUAUGCAAGAAUGAGUAUCGCCGGUGUGCGGUCUUUGAAGCUUAUGAUAGUGUUAAAUAUCUGUUUCCCAAGGUUCUUAAAGCUGAAAAAGAAGAGCAUUUCAUUAUGAUUAAUAUAUUCAAGGUCAUAGACAGCUACAUUCAGAUGGGGAAGUUAACAGAGGCAUUCAAGAUGUCUCGGCUACCACAGAUACAUGCCAAGGUGAGUGAAUUUGUUCAGCUUUUGAUACAACCAGAGAGAGACAUGAAUAAGGCUGUAAAUUUGUUGCAAGCUUUGUAUGAACUGUUUGUUCGAGAGUUCCCAAAGGCGAAGAAGACCAUCAUCCAGCUACGUGAGGAAGGUCUGGCACGACGAAGUUCAACAGCUGAUGAAGGACUUAUCUUUGAGAAUGCUGUGAAAUUUCCUGAUGCUGGAGAUGCAAUCUUUACUGAGCAGCUCAGACGAUUGCAUACAAUUCUUACUUCAAGAGACUCGAUGCAUAACGUUCCAUUGAAUCUUGAGGCACGACGACGAAUUGCUUUCUUUACCAAUUCUUUGUUUAUGAACAUUCCCCGUGCCCCCUAUGUUGAAAAAAUGAUGGCUUUCAGUGUUUUGACCCCAUAUUAUGAUGAGGAAGUAUUGUAUAGCAAAGAGGCUCUCCGAAAGGAGAAUGAGGAUGGUAUUACUACUUUGUUUUAUCUGCAGAAGAUUUAUGAAGAUGAAUGGAAAAAUUUUAUGGAAAGGAUGCAUAGAGAAGGGUUGAAAGAUGAGGAGGCUAUCUGGACAGAAAAGGCCCGGGAUCUCCGCCUUUGGGUAUCUCAUAGAGGACAAACAUUGUCUCGCACGGUUAGGGGGAUGAUGUAUUAUUAUAGGGCCCUUAAGAUGCUUGCGUUCCUUGAUUCAGCAUCUGAGAUGGAUGUAAGACAGGGAUCAGAACAUGGUUCAACAAACCAAAACAGCAGCUUAAAUGGCUUACCCUCAAAUGGGCCUUCAUCUUUACAGACAAAUCUCAGGCCGACAGGUAGCAGUGUGUCCAUGUUAUUCAAGGGACAUGAAUAUGGGAGUGCACUGAUGAAGUUCUCAUAUGUGGUGGCAUGUCAAAUGUAUGGGCGCCACAAGGCAGACAAGAAUCCCCGUGCUGACGAGAUAUUGUAUUUGAUGCAACACAAUGAGGCCCUUCGAGUGGCGUAUGUUGAUGAGGUUUCUUUAGGGAGGGAGGGGACUGAAUAUUACUCCGUUCUUGUGAAGUAUGAUCAGCAGUUGCAGAGUGAGGUUGAGAUUUAUCGAAUCCGGUUGCCUGGUCCUUUAAAGCUUGGAGAAGGGAAACCAGAAAAUCAGAAUCAUGCCAUAAUCUUUACACGGGGUGAUGCAGUUCAGACCAUUGAUAUGAAUCAAGACAAUUAUUUUGAGGAGGCUCUCAAAAUGCGGAAUCUGUUGGAGGAGUUCAAUAUGUCCUACGGUAUUAAGAAACCAACCAUUUUGGGGGUCCGAGAAAAUAUCUUCACGGGAUCUGUUUCCUCACUUGCAUGGUUCAUGUCAGCUCAAGAGACAAGUUUUGUGACACUGGGUCAGCGAGUUCUGGCAAACCCUUUGAAAGUACGAAUGCACUAUGGUCAUCCGGACGUGUUUGACAGAUUCUGGUUCUUGGGUCGGGGUGGAGUCAGCAAGGCCUCUAGAGUGAUUAAUAUCAGUGAAGAUAUUUUUGCUGGUUUCAAUUGUACUCUGCGAGGUGGCAAUGUGACACAUCAUGAAUAUAUACAGGUAGGCAAAGGAAGAGAUGUUGGUUUGAAUCAGAUAUCCAUGUUUGAGGCCAAGAUUGCUAGUGGCAAUGGUGAGCAGGUCCUGAGCAGAGAUGUGUACCGGCUUGGCCAUAGAUUAGACUUCUUUCGCAUGCUUUCAGUGUUCUACACAACCAUAGGAUUUUACUUUAACUCCAUGGUUAUUGUACUGAUGGUUUAUGCCUUCCUUUGGGGCCGCCUUUAUAUGGCUCUCAGUGGUAUUGAACAUGGUAUAAAACAUGCAGCCAUGAAUAAUGCUACCAACAAUAAAGCCCUUGGUGCAGUCCUAAAUCAGCAGUUUGCAAUCCAAGUUGGUAUCUUCACUGCUCUCCCAAUGGUUGUCGAAAACUCUCUUGAGCACGGGUUCCUUCCAGCUGUUUGGGACUUCUUGACAAUGCAGUUGCAGCUUGCAUCACUAUUUUAUACAUUCUCUUUGGGAACUCGCACACAUUUCUUUGGUCGUACUAUACUUCACGGUGGUGCUAAGUAUCGAGCAACUGGUCGAGGUUUCGUGGUGGCGCACAAGAGUUUUGCUGAGAACUAUCGACUAUAUGCUCGAAGCCAUUUUGUGAAGGGUAUUGAACUUGGGGUUAUUUUAAUUGUGUAUGCUGCUCAUAGUCCCUUGGCUAGGGAUACUUUUCUGUACAUAGUUAUGACAAUCUCAAGUUGGUUUCUUGUAGUUUCAUGGAUAAUGUCUCCUUUUGUCUUCAAUCCAUCUGGCUUUGAUUGGUUGAAGACUGUAUAUGAUUUUGAAGAUUUUAUAAAUUGGAUAUGGUAUCCUGGUGGGCCCUUCAAAAAGGCAGAAUAUAGCUGGGAAACAUGGUGGUACGAGGAGCAAGACCAUUUAAGAACAACUGGUAUAUGGGGAAAGCUGUUGGAAAUCAUUUUAAAUCUUAGAUUCUUCUUCUUUCAGUAUGGCAUUGUUUAUCAGCUGGGUAUUACAGGUGAAAAUAAUAGUAUAGCCGUUUACUUGCUGUCUUGGAUAGUCAUGGUUGUGCUUGUUGGCAUUUAUAUCAUCAUAGCAUAUGCCCAGGAUAAAUAUGCUACAAAGGAGCACUUAUAUUAUCGAUUAGUUCAGCUUCUUGUGAUUGUAGUCACAGUUCUUGUACUUUUCCUCCUACUGGAGUUUGCUCAUUUAAAAUUUCUUGAUCUUCUAUCAAGCUUCUUGGCAUUCGUUCCAACAGGAUGGGGAAUGAUUUCAAUAGCCCAGGUGCUUAGGCCUUUUCUGCAGACAACUAAAGUGUGGGAGACUGUUGUUUCCUUGGCCCGUCUAUAUGAUUUGCUGUUUGGGGUUAUUGUUAUGGCUCCAAUGGCAAUGCUAUCAUGGUUACCUGGAUUUCAAUCAAUGCAAACUAGGAUUCUCUUUAACGAAGCUUUCAGCAGGGGUCUCCAGAUAUCUCGAAUAGUUAGUGGCAAGAAGUCUGUUUAAGAUGGUAAUUGGAGGUCUCACCUUAAACCAAAGGGCUGCUACUAAUGCCUAGUUACUGAGAGAUGCGUUUCUGUAUUUUCCCAAGUAGUAGUAUCAACUUGAUAGUGGACCAGUACAAGUUACCAGUUUCUAACACAAGGUUGAUGACAACUAAUGGCAAGUCAAAGCUUGUUAAGUUGCCAUGGCAAAUGGAUGCCUACAGAUAAAUCCAUGUUUUUCAAUGUGAAUCCCUAAAAGGUUUAGCCUUGUUUCAGUGUCACUGGUGGCUCAAUGUGUGACAUUCCCAUUGACAUUAUCUAUCAAGGAAGGAGUCUCUGAUUGCUGCCCUGUAAUUUUCCUGCUACACAGGUUGUGAAUCUCUGUAGUUUAGUAUUGGAGGAUUAUCAGAUGUUUUUGCCUGUCUGUAAUUGACAAUUGACUUGCUGUACAUUCUGUUCAUAUGUAGUGCAACCUACUCUAACCAAACAUGACAUCGCCACUGAAUCAACGAUAUUUUAGGCUUGAUAUUGUUUGUCAUCAUGCACCUUUUGUCGAAUAGCUGCCAUGGCCAUGAAUCCUGCACGCAUGAAUACUAUAAAAAUCUUGCCUUGUUGUUUA
Glycine soja is the source of this 6199-nucleotide RNA transcript. It is a transcript of the gene named callose synthase 11-like, with no coding region annotated. The transcript is spliced from 3 exons. The record is from RefSeq and is a predicted model, not a curated record. Lineage: Eukaryota; Viridiplantae; Streptophyta; Magnoliopsida; Fabales; Fabaceae.